RNAcentral lists this ribosomal RNA (415 nucleotides) under uncultured bacterium. RNAcentral's name for it is "bacterial SSU rRNA". It matches the Rfam family "Bacterial small subunit ribosomal RNA", at positions 506 to 919 of the family's 1533-position model. The record is from RNAcentral.
AGCCAGCAGCCGCGGUAAAACGUAGGAGGCAAGCGUUAUCCGGAUUUACUGGGCGUAAAGCGCGUGCAGGCGGCUGUGCAAGUUGGGCGUAAAAUCUCCUGGCUUAACUGGGAGGCGCCGUCCAAUACUGCAUAGCUUGAGGGCAGGAGAGGGAAGCGGAAUUCCCGGUGUAGCGGUAAUAUGCGCAGAUAUCGGGAGGAACACCAGUGGCGAAGGCGGCUUUCUGGCCUGUCUCUGACGCUAAGACGCGAAAGCUAGGGGAGCGAACGGGAUUAGAUACCCCGGUAGUCCUAGCCGUAAACGAUGGAUACUAGGUGUGGGAGGUAUUGACCCCUUCCGUGCCGAAGCCAACGCGUUAAGUAUCCCGCCUGGGGAGUACGACCGCAAGGUUAAAACUUAAAGGAAUUGGCGGGGG